This 253-nucleotide ribosomal RNA is filed under the name uncultured bacterium. RNAcentral's name for it is "partial 16S ribosomal RNA". It matches the Rfam family "Bacterial small subunit ribosomal RNA", at positions 524 to 776 of the family's 1533-position model. The record is from RNAcentral.
UACGUAGGGGGCUAGCGUUGUCCGGAAUCAUUGGGCGUAAAGCGCGUGUAGGCGGCCCGGUAAGUCCGCUGUGAAAGUCGGGGGCUCAACCCUCGAAAGCCGGUGGAUACUGCCGGGCUCGAGUACGGAAGAGGCGAGUGGAAUUCCUGGUGUAGCGGUGAAAUGCGCAGAUAUCAGGAGGAACACCAAUUGCGAAGGCAGCUCGCUGGGACGUUACUGACGCUGAGACGCGAAAGCGUGGGGAGCAAACAGG